This 431-nucleotide ribosomal RNA is filed under the name uncultured bacterium. RNAcentral describes it as "bacterial SSU rRNA". It matches the Rfam family "Bacterial small subunit ribosomal RNA", at positions 29 to 507 of the family's 1533-position model. The record is from RNAcentral.
AACGAACGCUGGCGGCAGGCUUAACACAUGCAAGUCGAACGCCCCGCAAGGGGAGUGGCAGACGGGUGAGUAACGCGUGGGAACGUACCCUUUACUACGGAAUAACUCAGGGAAACUUGUGCUAAUACCGUAUGUGCCCUUCGGGGGAAAGAUUUAUCGGUAAAGGAUCGGCCCGCGUUGGAUUAGCUAGUUGGUGGGGUAAAGGCCUACCAAGGCGACGAUCCAUAGCUGGUCUGAGAGGAUGAUCAGCCACAUUGGGACUGAGACACGGCCCAAACUCCUACGGGAGGCAGCAGUGGGGAAUAUUGGACAAUGGGCGCAAGCCUGAUCCAGCCAUGCCGCGUGAGUGAUGAAGGCCCUAGGGUUGUAAAGCUCUUUCACCGGUGAAGAUAAUGACGGUAACCGGAGAAGAAGCCCCGGCUAACUUCGUG